GUGAAGAAGACGUGACUAAAAAAACUAAAGUUAGUUGAAAAAGAGCUGGCAAAGUUAAAGAUAAAGUAUGCUGUAAGUUAUUUGACUAAUUUCAUGGAGCUGGAACAUUCUCAAGAGAUAAAGAAUAAGCAGCUUAAACAAGCGAAGGACAAUCGAAAGAUGGCUCUGAACAAGAAGGACCAAACAAUGGAGGUAAAAAGAGUUUUAGAAAUAUCAAGAAAGUGCAAAAUUC
Long non-coding RNA from Biomphalaria glabrata, 232 nucleotides. RefSeq lists it as uncharacterized. Lineage: Eukaryota; Metazoa; Mollusca; Gastropoda; Planorbidae. The record is from RefSeq and is a predicted model, not a curated record. The transcript is spliced from 3 exons.